RNAcentral lists this ribosomal RNA (498 nucleotides) under uncultured bacterium. RNAcentral's name for it is "partial 16S ribosomal RNA". It matches the Rfam family "Bacterial small subunit ribosomal RNA", at positions 27 to 507 of the family's 1533-position model. The record is from RNAcentral.
GGACGAACGCUGGCGGCGUGCCUAAUACAUGCAAGUCGAGCGGACAGCCGGGAGCUUGCUCCCUGAUGUUAGCGGCGGACGGGUGAGUAACACGUGGGUAACCUGCCUGUAAGACUGGGAUAACUCCGGGAAACCGGGGCUAAUACCGGAUGGUUGUCUGAACCGCAUGGUUCAGACAUAAAAGGUGGCUUCGGCUACCACUUACAGAUGGACCCGCGGCGCAUUAGCUAGUUGGUGAGGUAACGGCUCACCAAGGCAACGAUGCGUAGCCGACCUGAGAGGGUGAUCGGCCACACUGGGACUGAGACACGGCCCAGACUCCUACGGGAGGCAGCAGUAGGGAAUCUUCCGCAAUGGACGAAAGUCUGACGGAGCAACGCCGCGUGAGUGAUGAAGGUUUUCGGAUCGUAAAGCUCUGUUGUUAGGGAAGAACAAGUGCCGUUCAAAUAGGGCGGCACCUUGACGGUACCUAACCAGAAAGCCACGGCUAACUACGUG